ACGAGUUUAUUCCUCUAAAACGAUUCUGUAACGAGGAAAAACGUGUUACCACCGUGCCUAUAUUUUAAAAUGAUUCUACGUGAAAAUUCAAAUAUUACCUUUUAUUUUAUUUUUAUAAAUCUACAUCUCGCAGUCGCAGGGUUCUCCAGAGAUUUUUCUCUAAAUUAUUUGAAUUAUUUCGUUUUCGUAAAUCGUGCCCUGUACUUGUCGAUUACUCGCAAUUUAAUAUUUCCAAUGUGUACCUUUGUGUUCCCGACUAUUCUAAUCUCGUGUUUAUAUUUAAGUUGAAUCGACUUAUGUAUGUAUGAGAGUGUGUAUGUGUGUUUAUACGCGUGUUUAUAUCGUAAACGCAAUAUAUUAAGGCCUCUUAGUUACUAACGACAGGUCGUCACGUUUUCAUCCUCCGAGCUACGACGCUACGACGAUACGAAGAUGGCGAUAGAAUUACUUCCCGCUUCUCUUCCAUCGAAAACUUCUUUUCUUCGUUAAAAAAAAGGAGAAAAAAAAUUGUAUUCCAACGUAUGUACACGCGAAAUUCGAAAAGUGCUUGGCUUUAUGUAUAUAAUACUCGUAUCUGGGGGGAGGGGGCAAAAGACGAUUUUUGCCCGAAAUUUGUCUGCGAGAAAGGACGAAAAAAACCUGCGUCUCCUCUUGCCUCGUCGCUUGGCCACAGAAAUCUGAUGCAUGUGCGUGUGGAUCAAUCGGAAGGAUCGCGGAGAGACACGCCAGUCGAUUGUUUAAGAUUUUAGAGAAGAGCGCCCUCUGAAAUAUGGUAUGUAAUGGUAUUUCAACAAGUGUAACGAGUUAUGUUAUGUGUGCAAAUUAUUGGGCAUGAUUUAAACCUUACAAGUUUCAUCUUAAAAUUAUACUAAAUUGUUUUUUCUUUUUCUUUUGUUUUAGGAGAUGACUCCCUCUUCAUAGUGAUCUUGAGUAACCUGACCAAGUCUUUUAGAAGUUUGAGGAACUAUAAAAGGUGUCUUAAGUACAGUCUAAUCCCUAUCUUAAUUCGUCCUAAAUUUCUCUACUACAUGUGGCUCACUGUCAUCGCGGGAUUAGAUAACAGACAGGAUUCUUGGCAGUAUUUGGUACAACAUUCUCGAAAUGGAAUUAUUGGUAUUAUCUGACUGGCUCUGUCUCUCCUGAGUAGAGACGAAAGGUGAUUAAAAGCAAAGCUGAACUGAACUCAAUGCGGUGAUUGCUGUGAAGGAAACGUGAAAGAAACAGUGCGCAUUAAAAACCUGUGAAAGAAACGUUGCAGAGGUAGUCAGUGCUUGGAAGGUAGAACUGAAAAUA
Molecule: long non-coding RNA, 1293 nt
Organism: Apis dorsata (giant honeybee)
Lineage: Eukaryota; Metazoa; Arthropoda; Insecta; Hymenoptera; Apidae
Exons: 2
Source: RefSeq, a predicted model, not a curated record